AAAAAACAAAGAAAUACUGCUUACUACACAGUUGGACUCUCUUAAAAGACUUAUAAAAGAAAAACAGGAUGAAGUUGUCUAUUACGAUCCAUGUGAAAGUCCAGAGGAACUUAGUCAUUGACUGUGGUGGGGCUGCAGGACGAUAAGAAUUUGGAAGUGAAAGAACUCAGAAGGCAGUGCCAGCAGCUGGAGUCUAUUAAACGGGGCAGGAUCUGUGUCAAAAGAGCUUCUCUCCAGAGUAGAAAGGAUCAGUGCAAAGAAAAUCAUUGGCUCAGAUUGCAACAGGCUGAAGAAAGCAUAAGAUAUUCUCGUCAGCAUCACAGUAUUCAGAUGAAAAGAGACAAGAUAAAAAGGAGCAAAAGAAAAAAGAAUGGAUCAACCAAGAAAGUCAAACACUCCAACGAUUGAGAGCAUUUAAAGAUGUAAGUUCUGUAAACAAUCACCUCAUCUACACUUCUGGGGAAUUAUGAAGACCGCUCUAAAGAGGAAAGUAUUAAGAACAGGUCAUUCAGAACGUGAAACAUUUAAAAAGUAACAUUAUUUCUGGUAUAUCAAUAAAAAGCAACAACAAAAAUAGAAUAUCAGUGAUUCAAAACCCAUGAUAUAAAAUAACUGCUGUUUUUGACAUCACAACACGCUUGGGUUCCUGCUCUGCACUCUUCACUGAGUAGUCCUUACUGGCACUGGUGGUUUAGAUUGGCAGGGAAAACUGAAAACUGUUCAACUCCCUUGACUUUAGCUGGCAUUUCCUCUCAUUUGUAAUAAACAAUUCUUUAAAAUGUUAUCCAGGCAGCAUUGUGAUAUAAGUGUAGUGAAAGUGCCCAGUUAAAAGUAAAAUGUGUUGUUUUUUUUUUUUUUUUGAUAUCUACAACUUUCUUUU
Molecule: long non-coding RNA, 880 nt
Filed under: Pan troglodytes (chimpanzee)
Lineage: Eukaryota; Metazoa; Chordata; Mammalia; Primates; Hominidae
Description: long non-coding RNA NONPTRT005572
Source: RNAcentral